RNAcentral lists this long non-coding RNA (202 nucleotides) under Olea europaea (common olive). Its description in RNAcentral is "long non-coding RNA (OEUR_LNC008028)". Lineage: Eukaryota; Viridiplantae; Streptophyta; Magnoliopsida; Lamiales; Oleaceae. The record is from RNAcentral.
UUUGCAGAAUCUUUCGUCAGCAGUCUUGAAGGAGACUGAUCAAUACCAUAAAAAAGAUUUGUACUUCUUUCUUAUUUAGUAUUGUGAAGUCUUGUCCAAUAUUGUGUACUAAAGAUAUAACGGUUUGCCUAUCAGUCUAGGAUAUCUUGGAUUAUUCACCGAGUGCAUGUUUGGUUUCUGUUAACUAAUGCCGUUACCUGGA